AUCUCUCAAAUACAAUAAUUUUUUUUGAUUGUUGUAUUUGGACUUGGAAGCUGUUGGCGCAAGUCGACUCUUCUCAAAUGUAUUAGCUGGGGUUUAUAUAGUUGGAUCCUUGGUGUGAUAAUUAUCUACGCCUUGAAGUCCCUGUAGACUCUGCUUCAAAUCGUCUCUUGAUGAGACAAUAUUUGAAUC
This 189-nucleotide unclassified non-coding RNA is filed under the name Waitea circinata. RNAcentral describes it as "partial internal transcribed spacer 2". The record is from RNAcentral. Lineage: Eukaryota; Fungi; Basidiomycota; Agaricomycetes; Corticiales; Corticiaceae.